Molecule: long non-coding RNA, 580 nt
Organism: Panicum virgatum (switchgrass)
Lineage: Eukaryota; Viridiplantae; Streptophyta; Magnoliopsida; Poales; Poaceae
Exons: 3
Source: RefSeq, a predicted model, not a curated record
GGGGGGCCCAGCUGGCUGUGGGGGGCGCGUGCGCUGCGCCCUCGUAUGAUCCGAAGCCCCGGCGGGCAAAUUACCCCGCGCCACCUCGCCGGCGGCGAUCGCCGGAGCCGGAGGAGGCGGGGGCCUGGAGGAUCUUACGCGGAUUGCAGUUCCACGGAUGGAGUUGCAAUUUACAGGUGCGAGGAGAUCAGAACAUACCAAGAUUGAACAACGGACACUCUGAAGUUGUUUCCGGGUGACAAGUCUGAAUCCCAGGACAAGCAGCACGUUCUUUUGUUUUUAUGGCGCUGAACAUUACUUGUCCUGUUAGUAAUAAUUUACUGGAUCACAGAAGCAAGUAGGGGUCCAUCGGCGUCCUUAUGCUUUAAUUCACAUGGGCAAGCUGUAGCUACGUUGAAUGCCCUUUUCUUCGGAUCAUGCACGGUGGUUGACCGUCUAUUUGGAUGACUCGUUUGUUUAUUUGUGACAUAGUACCUACAUUUUGAUCUAUUAUCAUGUUUAAAUAUUUCUUCCGACCAAUAACAAUUGUUGAACAAUAAGUUGCUGCUUAAUAAUUUUUUUAGCACCCAUGUUUCUACUA